Molecule: ribosomal RNA, 448 nt
Filed under: uncultured bacterium
Lineage: Bacteria
Description: bacterial SSU rRNA
Rfam family: Bacterial small subunit ribosomal RNA
Source: RNAcentral
UGGGGAAUCUUGGACAAUGGGCGCAAGCCUGAUCCAGCCAUGCCGCGUGAGUGAAGAAGGCCUUCGGGUUGUAAAGCUCUUUUUACCAGGGACGAUAAUGACGGUACCUGGAGAAUAAGCCCCGGCAAACUUCGUGCCAGCAGCCGCGGUAAUACGAAGGGGGCUAGCGUUGUUCGGAAUUACUGGGCGUAAAGCGCACGUAGGCGGAUUGUUAAGUCAGAGGUGAAAUCCCGGAGCUCAACUUCGGAACUGCCUUUGGUACUGGCAAUCUCGAGUCCGGAAGAGGUUAGUGGAAUUCCCAGUGUAGAGGUGAAAUUCGUAGAUAUUGGGAAGAACACCAGUGGCGAAGGCGGCUAACUGGUCCGGUACUGACGCUGAGGUGCGAAAGCGUGGGGAGCAAACAGGAUUAGAUACCCCCGUAGUCCCUGAGCGGGCUGGCAAGGCGCAU